CUACGCACUCCUACGGGAGGCAGCAGUGGGGAAUAUUGCACAAUGGGCGCAAGCCUGAUGCAGCCAUGCCGCGUGUAUGAAGAAGGUCCUUCGGGUUGUAAAGUACUUUCAGCAGUGAGGAAGGUGGGUAUGUUAAUAGCAUACUCAUUUGACGUUAGCUGCAGAAGAAGCACCGGCUAACUCCGUGCCAGCAGCCGCGGUAAUACGGAGGGUGCGAGCGUUAAUCGGAAUUACUGGGCGUAAAGCGCAUGCAGGUGGUUUGUUAAGUCAGAUGUGAAAGCCCGGGGCUCAACCUCGGAAUUGCAUUUGAAACUGGCAAACUAGAGUACUGUAGAGGGGGUAGAAUUUCAGGUGUAGCGGUGAAAUGCGUAGAGAUCUGAAGGAAUACCGGUGGCGAAGGCGGCCCCCUGGACAGAUACUGACACUCAGAUGCGAAAGCGUGGGGAGCAAACAGGAUUAGAUACCCUGGUAG
RNAcentral lists this ribosomal RNA (472 nucleotides) under uncultured bacterium. RNAcentral describes it as "bacterial SSU rRNA". It matches the Rfam family "Bacterial small subunit ribosomal RNA", at positions 329 to 793 of the family's 1533-position model. The record is from RNAcentral.